This 345-nucleotide ribosomal RNA is filed under the name uncultured bacterium. RNAcentral's name for it is "bacterial SSU rRNA". It matches the Rfam family "Bacterial small subunit ribosomal RNA", at positions 167 to 507 of the family's 1533-position model. The record is from RNAcentral.
UACCGCAUACGUCCUGAGGGAGAAAGCGGGGGACCGUAAGGCCUCGCGCGAUUGGAGCGGCCGAUGUCGGAUUAGCUAGUUGGUAGGGUAAAGGCCUACCAAGGCGACGAUCCGUAGCGGGUCUGAGAGGAUGAUCCGCCACACUGGGACUGAGACACGGCCCAGACUCCUACGGGAGGCAGCAGUGGGGAAUUUUGGACAAUGGGCGAAAGCCUGAUCCAGCCAUGCCGCGUGAGUGAAGAAGGCCUUCGGGUUGUAAAGCUCUUUCAGCCGGAAAGAAAUCGCGCAGGAUAAUACUCUGCGUGGAUGACGGUACCGGAAGAAGAAGCACCGGCUAACUACGUG